AACGAACGCUGGCGGCAUGCCUAACACAUGCAAGUCGAACGAUGCCUCCGGGCAUAGUGGCGCACGGGUGCGUAACGCGUGGGAAUCUGCCCUUGGGUUCGGAAUAACUCGCCGAAAGGCGAGCUAAUACCGGAUGAUGACGUAAGUCCCAAGAUUUAGCGCCCAAGGAUGGGCCCGCGUAGGAUUAGCUAGUUGGUGGGGUAAAGGCGCCUCAAGGCGACGAUCCUUAGCUGGUCUGAGAGGAUGAUCAGCCACACUGGGACUGGGCCACGGCCCAGACUACUACGGGAGGCAGCAGUGGGGAAUAUUGGACAGUGGGCGGAAGCCUGAUCCACCACUGCCGCGUGAAUGAUGAAGGCCGUAGGGUUGUAAAGCUCUUUUACCCGGGAUGGUAAUGACGGUACCGGGAGAAUAAGCACCGGCUAACUCCGUG
RNAcentral lists this ribosomal RNA (433 nucleotides) under uncultured bacterium. RNAcentral describes it as "partial 16S ribosomal RNA". It matches the Rfam family "Bacterial small subunit ribosomal RNA", at positions 29 to 507 of the family's 1533-position model. The record is from RNAcentral.